AGUGAACGCUGGCGGUAGGCCUAACACAUGCAAGUCGAACGGCAGCACAGUAAGAGCUUGCUCUUACGGGUGGCGAGUGGCGGACGGGUGAGGAAUACAUCGGAAUCUACUUUUUCGUGGGGGAUAACGUAGGGAAACUUACGCUAAUACCGCAUACGACCUACGGGUGAAAGCAGGGGAUCUUCGGACCUUGCGCGAUUGAAUGAGCCGAUGUCGGAUUAGCUAGUUGGCGGGGUAAAGCCCACCAAGGCGACGAUCCGUAGCUGGUCUGAGAGGAUGAUCAGCCACACUGGAACUGAGACACGGUCCAGACUCCUACGGGAGGCAGCAGUGGGGAAUAUUGGACAAUGGGCGCAAGCCUGAUCCAGCCAUACCGCGUGGGUGAAGAAGGCCUUCGGGUUGUAAAGCCCUUUUGUUGGGAAAGAAAAGCAGCAGGUUAAUACCCCGCUGUUCUGACGGUACCCAAAGAAUAAGCACCGGCUAACUUCGU
RNAcentral lists this ribosomal RNA (490 nucleotides) under uncultured bacterium. Its description in RNAcentral is "partial 16S ribosomal RNA". It matches the Rfam family "Bacterial small subunit ribosomal RNA", at positions 29 to 506 of the family's 1533-position model. The record is from RNAcentral.